UGGUGGGUAGUUUGACUGGGGCGGUCUCCUCCUAAAGAGUAACGGAGGAGCACGAAGGUUGGCUAAUCCUGGUCGGACAUCAGGAGGUUAGUGCAAUGGCAUAAGCCAGCUUGACUGCGAGCGUGACGGCGCGAGCAGGUGCGAAAGCAGGUCAUAGUGAUCCGGUGGUUCUGAAUGGAAGGGCCAUCGCUCAACGGAUAAAAGGUACUCCGGGGAUAACAGGCUGAUACCGCCCAAGAGUUCAUAUCGACGGCGGUGUUUGGCACCUCGAUGUCGGCUCAUCACAUCCUGGGGCUGAAGUAGGUCCCAAGGGUAUGGCUGUUCGCCAUUUAAAGUGGUACGCGAGCUGGGUUUAGAACGUCGUGAGACAGUUCGGUCCCUAUCUGCCGUGGGCGCUGGAGAACUGAGGGGGGCUGCUCCUAGUACGAGAGGACCGGAGUGGACGCAUCACUGGUGUUCGGGUUGUCAUGCCAAUGGCACUGCCCGGUAGCUAAAUGCGGAAGAGAUAAGUGCUGAAAGCAUCUAAGCACGAAACUUGCCCCGAGAUGAGUUCUCCCUGACCCUUUAAGGGUCCUGAAGGAACGUUGAAGACGACGACGUUGAUAGGCCGGGUGUGUAAGCGCAGCGAUGCGUUGAGCUAACCGGUACUAAUGAACCGUGAGGCUUAACC
Molecule: ribosomal RNA, 670 nt
Filed under: Escherichia coli
Lineage: Bacteria; Pseudomonadati; Pseudomonadota; Gammaproteobacteria; Enterobacterales; Enterobacteriaceae
Description: partial 23S ribosomal RNA
Rfam family: Bacterial large subunit ribosomal RNA
Source: RNAcentral